This 1176-nucleotide long non-coding RNA is filed under the name Homo sapiens (human). RNAcentral's name for it is "non-protein coding lnc-CLEC2D-10:1". Lineage: Eukaryota; Metazoa; Chordata; Mammalia; Primates; Hominidae. The record is from RNAcentral.
CGCCAGCAGCACCUGCUCCACCUGGUGUGCGCUCUUAGGUUCCUGGAUCACCUUCUUCCUGGCAGCCAGACGGCCCAGCAGGCCACCCUUCUCCCAGUGGGCAUGGACCUGGCGCAGGUACUCGUAGGAGGGGAAGAAACAGACCACCCCUCCAGAAACCACACCGCACAGGUUACAGAGGAUGCGACCCACCUCGUCCAUCUAAGGAAGGAAGGAAGGAAGGAAGGAAGGAAGGGAGGGAGGGAGUGACUGCGCCUUUCCGACACAUGUCACAGCACUAGCGUCCCUGGGGGGCCUCCCUAUUGCCCUGGCACUGAGUCGUCCCUUCUUCUGUCCAGGGUCCUGAUGGGCACCACAAUGACAAUCAGGGGCUGCACACCCCAGGCACACCACAGGAGAUGCCCCCAAGCCCCACAUCCCUGCCCCCGGCAGGGGCAGAUAUAACCAAAGGGCAAGAGAGCCAAAGGGAACUAGCAGCUUUCUGCUGAGUGAGGCGUCCUCAGAGGAUGCCUGGAGGUUUUAUGAAUACAUAUUUCGCAGCCUAAGGCGUGAGGGGCGGGGAAGCUCAGACCUUCCUCCAUAAGCAUCUAGAUCGACGCCGCUCAUUCUGUGUGGCUCUAAGUGGGUGUCCCUGUGCAAUUUCCCCAACACCUGAAAACACUCAGGGUGGGCCAGAGCGCCCCUGCCCCAGAAAACCCUUUGCUGCCGGAGGCCAGGCUGUGGUGCAGCGAGCUGGCUGGGACUGACCAUCUGAGGCAGGUCUCUCUUCUGGAACGUGAAUUCUAGCGGCUGGUUGGAGACCCCGCUGCAGAUGACAAGGGGCAGGAUGUUGUCUGGAGGGAUCACGUGACCUGGUAAGAGCCAGGGAGGGGCCGAAAACUGAAGAUGCAGGUGUGCUGUAAGACACUGCAGAGAGGGCAUUUACCUGCCCCAUCAUCCAGCACAGGAACAGCGACUGACAGCGCUCACCCACCCACCAUCGCCAGUCACACUGGGCAGCACGCAGCAGGCAGCAGGGAGCAAAGCAGGAGAGCCUGGGUGAGCGCACGAAGGGUGAGUCUCCCAUCCCGGGGUCUCCUCCGCCUCUGUGCCUGGUCGCAGUAUGAGUUAUUACCCACAGAAAACGGGGGCCAGAACCUGACCUCUAGCCUGCCCCACCCUGGGCACAGCUUCUCA